Molecule: transfer RNA, 85 nt
Filed under: bacterium
Lineage: Bacteria
Description: tRNA-Leu
Rfam family: tRNA
About the family: Transfer RNA (tRNA) molecules are approximately 80 nucleotides in length. Their secondary structure includes four short double-helical elements and three loops (D, anti-codon, and T loops). Further hydrogen bonds mediate the characteristic L-shaped molecular structure. tRNAs have two regions of fundamental functional importance: the anti-codon, which is responsible for specific mRNA codon recognition, and the 3' end, to which the tRNAs corresponding amino acid is attached (by aminoacyl-tRNA synthetases). tRNAs cope with the degeneracy of the genetic code in two manners: having more than one tRNA (with a specific anti-codon) for a particular amino acid; and 'wobble' base-pairing, i.e. permitting non-standard base-pairing at the 3rd anti-codon position.
Source: RNAcentral
GUGAGAAUGGCGGAAUAGGUAGACGCGUACGCUUGAGGGGCGUAUGGCACGUGCUGUGAGGGUUCGAGUCCCUUUUCUCACACCA